GCGCGGGUGGCGGAAUUGGCAGACGCGCUAGACUAAGGAUCUAGUGCCCUUCGGGGCUUGGGGGUUCGAUUCCCCCCUCGCGCACCA
Molecule: transfer RNA, 87 nt
Filed under: Candidatus Hydrogenedentota bacterium
Lineage: Bacteria; Pseudomonadati; Candidatus Hydrogenedentota
Also listed under: 1 other name
Description: tRNA-Leu
Rfam family: tRNA
About the family: Transfer RNA (tRNA) molecules are approximately 80 nucleotides in length. Their secondary structure includes four short double-helical elements and three loops (D, anti-codon, and T loops).
Source: RNAcentral